RNAcentral lists this ribosomal RNA (416 nucleotides) under uncultured bacterium. RNAcentral's name for it is "bacterial SSU rRNA". It matches the Rfam family "Bacterial small subunit ribosomal RNA", at positions 88 to 518 of the family's 1533-position model. The record is from RNAcentral.
AUACUUAGUGGCGGACGGGUGGAGUAACGGCGUGGGUAACCUGCCUUAUACCGGGGGACGAACAGUUGGAAACGACUGCUAAUACCGCAUAAGCGCACAGUCUCGCAUGAGACAGUGUGAAAAAACUCCGGUGGUAUAAGAUGGACCCGCGUCUGAUUAGCCAGUUGGCGGUGUAACGGACCACCAAAGCGACGAUCAGUAGCCGGCCUGAGAGGGUGAACGGCCACAUUGGGACUGAGACACGGCCCAAACUCCUACGGGAGGCAGCAGUGGGGAAUAUUGCACAAUGGAGGAAACUCUGAUGCAGCGACGCCGCGUGAGUGAAGAAGUAUUUCGGUAUGUAAAGCUCUAUCAGCAGGAAAGAAAAUGACGGUACCCGACUAAGAAGCCCCGGCUAACUACGUGCCAGCCGCAGC